This is a small nucleolar RNA of Gastrolobium bilobum, 107 nucleotides long. NCBI's taxonomy places the organism in Eukaryota, Viridiplantae, Streptophyta, Magnoliopsida, Fabales, Fabaceae. The record is from RefSeq and is a predicted model, not a curated record.
AAACCAUGUUGUGGACACUUCCUGAGCAGUCCUUUGAACCUUUCACAUGCCUCGUACAAGGAUUCACUUUCUUUUUGUUCAAAAGAAGUGAUAUCUGCUUUAAGUUU